GAGGCCGGGAGUUGUAGGCCAGAGAGGCAGGUCAUCGGCCCUUGGGCCCUUGGCGCUGAGGUGGUUGCCACCUGACCAGCUGAGGAGAUCGUCAGAAAGGCUGGGACACCAAAGGAUGACGCACAAAUGGAGGAAUUUUCAGGCACGGUCAAAGCUAAUGGGAGGGAAAAUAUUGAAGUGUAAUAUUCCAGAGUUCUCUCUUGUCUGCUCUGACUCCUGCCAGCUGCCCUGCACCUAGAGGGACAGGAGGCUCUUCUCCUGGGCAUUGCAUGGCCGGGAGCCAAAUGAGCUGGCCCCAGAACCUGGAACCCUCUCUCGGGGUCUGGAUUGGGACCCCUUUCCAGUACCAUUUUUCUGGUGAACCACGAAGGGACGAUACCAGAGAAACCCCCCAACCCAAAGGAAAUAGACUACAGCCCCAGUUGGCUGACUUUGGCUAUAGAAAAAAGAAAGGAAAGAAAAGAGACAGUUUUUUUGGAAAGCUAAGUCUUCCCUUUAUCAGUCAAGAAACCCCCCCUUCUUGAGCUAUUUACAGCUUUUAACAAUUGAGUAAAGUAUGCUCCUGACACAAUUGGAGAAACUGGUUAUUUAACAAGGGUUUGACUGGAAUGGCAUGCUUUCAAAUAUAAACAGACUUCUUUAAGGAAUUAAAGUUGACUAAUAGAGCCAAUAAAAGCCUCUUGGAAAAA
This 689-nucleotide small RNA is filed under the name Pongo abelii (Sumatran orangutan). Its description in RNAcentral is "processed transcript". The record is from RNAcentral. Lineage: Eukaryota; Metazoa; Chordata; Mammalia; Primates; Hominidae.